AGCCUCAUUCCAUAAAAUAAUGGGUACAGUUGAUCAUAGUGCCCAGAACUGCUAAUAUGGCUAAAUUUAGACACAAGUUAUGCUUCCAUCACAAUAUAUUUAUUGCAGUGGUCACAAUAACACCUGUAACUUUC
RNAcentral lists this small nucleolar RNA (134 nucleotides) under Dasypus novemcinctus (nine-banded armadillo). Its description in RNAcentral is "Small nucleolar RNA SNORA1 (ENSDNOG00000030805.1)". It matches the Rfam family "Small nucleolar RNA SNORA1". From Rfam's summary of the family: ACA1 is a member of the H/ACA class of snoRNA that guide the sites of modification of uridines to pseudouridines. Lineage: Eukaryota; Metazoa; Chordata; Mammalia; Cingulata; Dasypodidae. The record is from RNAcentral.